Long non-coding RNA from Cydia amplana, 265 nucleotides. RefSeq lists it as uncharacterized. The record is from RefSeq and is a predicted model, not a curated record. The transcript has 2 exons. Lineage: Eukaryota; Metazoa; Arthropoda; Insecta; Lepidoptera; Tortricidae.
UUCCUGUCGGACUGCCGCUCGGACACGCUCAGGGUCGUGAAGGCGCACGCCGAUGGCUCCAUCCGCGGCGCCAAGGUCUACGACAAGUUCCAGUUCGAGAGGAUCGGCUUCUUCUCCGUCGACCCCGACACCAACGCUGACAAUAUCGUGUUCAACAGGACUGUUUCUCUCAAGGAAGAUACUGGAAAAUAGAAUCAAUUGUAUAUAUGUAUUUAAUACAGUUUAUACACUUUAUACAAUAAACAGUUUUUAUUUAUUAUCAAAA